GUGCAGCAGGCGAGAAUCGUUCACAAUGGGCGCAAGCCUGAUGGCGCGACGCCGCGUGUGGGAUGGGAGGCCUUCGGGUUGUAAACCACUGUCACAGGGGAAGAAAGGCACGGAUGCUAACAUCGUCCGUGUUUCGACGUUAACCCCUGAGAGGAAGCCACGGCUAACUCCGUGCCAGCAGCCGCGGUAAUACGGAGUGGCAAGCGUUGUUCGGAAUUACGU
RNAcentral lists this ribosomal RNA (222 nucleotides) under uncultured microorganism. Its description in RNAcentral is "partial 16S ribosomal RNA". It matches the Rfam family "Bacterial small subunit ribosomal RNA", at positions 346 to 556 of the family's 1533-position model. The record is from RNAcentral.